UGAUUGAUGGUGCUUGCACCUGAUUGAUCCCGUUUCGCCAACGAGUGGCGGACGGGUGAGUAACACGUAGGUCACCUGCCCAGAAGCGGGGGACAACAUUUGGAAACAGAUGCUAAUACCGCAUAACAACGUUGUUCGCAUGAACAACGCUUAAAAGAUGGCUUCUCGCUAUCACUUCUGGAUGGACCUGCGGUGCAUUAGCUUGUUGGUGGGGUAAUGGCCUACCAAGGCGAUGAUGCAUAGCCGAGUUGAGAGACUGAUCGGCCACAAUGGGACUGAGACACGGCCCAUACUCCUACGGGAGGCAGCAGUAGGGAAUCUUCCACAAUGGGCGCAAGCCUGAUGGAGCAACACCGCGUGAGUGAAGAAGGGUUUCGGCUCGUAAAGCUCUGUUGUUAAAGAAGAACACGUAUGAGAGUAACUGUUCAUACGUUGACGGUAUUUAACCAGAAAGUCACGGCUAACUACGUGCCAGCAGCCGCGGUAAUACGUAGGUGGCAAGCGUUAUCCGGAUUUAUUGGGCGUAAAGAGAGUGCAGGCGGUUUUCUAAGUCUGAUGUGAAAGCCUUCGGCUUAACCGGAGAAGUGCAUCGGAAACUGGAUAACUUGAGUGCAGAAGAGGGUAGUGGAACUCCAUGUGUAGCGGUGGAAUGCGUAGAUAUAUGGAAGAACACCAGUGGCGAAGGCGGCUACCUGGUCUGCAACUGACGCUGAGACUCGAAAGCAUGGGUAGCGAACAGGAUUAGAUACCCUGGUAGUCCAUGCCGUAAACGAUGAGUGCUAGGUGUUGGAGG
RNAcentral lists this ribosomal RNA (793 nucleotides) under uncultured bacterium. RNAcentral's name for it is "bacterial SSU rRNA". It matches the Rfam family "Bacterial small subunit ribosomal RNA", at positions 67 to 829 of the family's 1533-position model. The record is from RNAcentral.